GUGAACCGUUGGAGUAACGGUGGAGCGGAAGUCGAAGGAUGGAAGGGAUUCAACUGGUCGUGUUGACCUCGACUAGCUGSGACGUUUKUUUKUUKGAGRKUCUUACCGGUGCGUUGGUGAGAUGUGACGCUUCGUUUAGCUUGGGUCUGAGAGUUUCGGCGUGCCUUGGCAUUUCCCUACUUCCCCUCUCCUAGUAGGACACCGCGACCGGCUGUCGAGGGGAGCCCAGGAGCUGGUGGGAGCAGGUGCGCGGACGAGUAAGSGAUACKUUCUCUGCGUCUGGUCUGUCUGUCUCUCGCCGUUGYGKGGUUYUGCUUCCUCCGSCCGAGGAUWGGUGCKAGUUGAGUYGCCUUCGGGUUAGAUUCYUCGUCCAUGUGCGCACCUCUGAUAUCUGUCGGUGACGGGUCGAUAAAACCCAACGKGUGGCAGCGGUCGCCUGCGCGCCGGUCUUUAUUGAUCGAUUGCGUGCGGGUGUUCUGUAGUCAGCCGCCGUCGGUUCAGGGUGUGGACUCCCGCUAAGGGGUGCUGGGGGUCGGCGGUGAGUAGGUCGGUUUCCCACCCGACCCGUCUUGAAACACGGACCAAGAAGUCUAACGUGUGGGCGAGUCUUCGGGGCUACCGAACCCUGCUAGAAGGCGAAAUGAAAGUGAAGGCUGACUUUUAGUUAGCUUUGGUGGGAUGCCGGUCGUUUUUAAUACGUCGGCGCACCACCGGCCCGUCCAAUGACCGCUUCGCCGGUCGGGCGGAGCYUGAGCCCACACGUUGGGACCCGAAAGAUGGUGAACUAUGCCUGGGCAGGACGAUGCCAGAGGAAACUCUGGUGGAAGUCCGCAGCGGUUCUGACGUGCAAAUCGAUCGUCGGACCUGGU
RNAcentral lists this ribosomal RNA (869 nucleotides) under Polydesmida sp. NZAC 03011253. RNAcentral describes it as "partial 28S ribosomal RNA". The stretch from base 581 to 869 matches the Rfam family "Eukaryotic large subunit ribosomal RNA", at positions 665 to 915 of the family's 3401-position model. Lineage: Eukaryota; Metazoa; Arthropoda; Diplopoda; Polydesmida. The record is from RNAcentral.